AUUGAACGCUGGCGGCAUGCCUUACACAUGCAAGUCGAACGGCAGCAUGAUCUAGCUUGCUAGAUUGAUGGCGAGUGGCGAACGGGUGAGUAAUACAUCGGAACGUGCCCUGUAGUGGGGGAUAACUAGUCGAAAGAUUAGCUAAUACCGCAUACGACCUGAGGGUGAAAGUGGGGGACCGCAAGGCCUCAUGCUAUAGGAGCGGCCGAUGUCUGAUUAGCUAGUUGGUGAGGUAAAGGCUCACCAAGGCGACGAUCAGUAGCUGGUCUGAGAGGACGAUCAGCCGCACUGGGACUGAGACACGGCCCAGACUCCUACGGGAGGCAGCAGUGGGGAAUUUUGGACAAUGGGCGAAAGCCUGAUCCAGCAAUUCCGCGUGUGUGAAGAAGGCCUUCGGGUUGUAAAGCACUUUUGUCCGGAAAGAAAUGGCUCUGGUUAAUACCUGGGGUCGAUGACGGUACCGGAAGAAUAAGGACCGGCUAACUACGUG
Molecule: ribosomal RNA, 490 nt
Filed under: uncultured bacterium
Lineage: Bacteria
Description: partial 16S ribosomal RNA
Rfam family: Bacterial small subunit ribosomal RNA
Source: RNAcentral